RNAcentral lists this ribosomal RNA (274 nucleotides) under uncultured bacterium. RNAcentral's name for it is "partial 16S ribosomal RNA". It matches the Rfam family "Bacterial small subunit ribosomal RNA", at positions 523 to 796 of the family's 1533-position model. The record is from RNAcentral.
AUACGGAGGGGGCUAGCGUUGUUCGGAUUUACUGGGCGUAAAGGGCGCGUAGGCGGCCCAUAAAGUCAGGCGUGAAAGCCCCGGGCUCAACCUGGGAACUGCGCUUGAAACGUGUGGGCUAGAGUCCGGGAGAGGAUGGUGGAAUUCCCAGUGUAGAGGUGAAAUUCGUAGAUAUUGGGAAGAACACCGGUGGCGAAGGCGGCCAUCUGGACCGGUACUGACGCUAAGGCGCGAAAGCGUGGGGAGCAAACAGGAUUAGAAACCCCUGUAGUCC